GAAACAUAGUUGACAGUGUCAGGGGGAGUAGGUGGGGGGCAAGGGGUGUGGUGAAUUAUUGGGCGUAGAGAGGUCGUGGGGGGUCGGUCGGGUCGGCUGUGAAAACGCGGGGCUCAACCGCGAGCCGGCAGUCGAUACGGGCAGACGAGAGUGCGGUAGGGGAGACUGGAAUGCCUGGUGUAGCGGUGAAAUGCGCAGAUAUCAGGAGGAACACCGGUGGCGAAGGCGGGUCUCUGGGCCGUAACUGACGCUGAGGAGCGAAAGCGUGGGGAGCAAACAGGAUUAGAUACCCCUGUAGUC
RNAcentral lists this ribosomal RNA (300 nucleotides) under uncultured Pyrobaculum sp. RNAcentral's name for it is "bacterial SSU rRNA". The stretch from base 53 to 300 matches the Rfam family "Bacterial small subunit ribosomal RNA", at positions 548 to 795 of the family's 1533-position model. The record is from RNAcentral. Lineage: Archaea; Thermoproteati; Thermoproteota; Thermoprotei; Thermoproteales; Thermoproteaceae.